Gavialis gangeticus (Gharial) is the source of this 69-nucleotide non-coding RNA. Lineage: Eukaryota; Metazoa; Chordata; Crocodylia; Gavialidae. The record is from the annotation of a RefSeq genome assembly.
GUGGAUAUAAUUUAAACAAAAUAUUAGAAUGUGAAGCUAAAAAUAGGAAAUCACCCCUCCUUAUCCACC